This 423-nucleotide ribosomal RNA is filed under the name uncultured microorganism. Its description in RNAcentral is "bacterial SSU rRNA". It matches the Rfam family "Bacterial small subunit ribosomal RNA", at positions 9 to 428 of the family's 1533-position model. The record is from RNAcentral.
GAGUUUGAUCUUGGCUCAGAUUGAACGCUGGUGGCAUGCCUUACACAUGCAAGUCGAACGGCAGCAUGAUCUAGCUUGCUAGAUUGAUGGCGAGUGGCGAACGGGUGAGUAAUACAUCGGAACGUGCCCUGUAGUGGGGGAUAACUAGUCGAAAGAUUAGCUAAUACCGCAUACGACCUGAGGGUGAAAGUGGGGGACCGCAAGGCCUCAUGCUAUAGGAGCGGCCGAUGUCUGAUUAGCUAGUUGGUGGGGUAAAGGCCCACCAAGGCGACGAUCAGUAGCUGGUCUGAGAGGACGAUCAGCCACACUGGGACUGAGACACGGCCCAGACUCCUACGGGAGGCAGCAGUGGGGAAUUUUGGACAAUGGGCGAAAGCCUGAUCCAGCAAUGCCGCGUGUGUGAAGAAGGCCUUCGGUUGGUAA